UAACGCGAAGAACCUUACCUGGUCUUGACAUCCACGGAACUUUCCAGAGAUGGAUAGGUGCCUUCGGGAACUGUGAGACAGGUGCUGCAUGGCUGUCGUCAGCUCGUGUUGUGAAAUGUUGGGUUAAGUCCCGCAACGAGCGCAACCCUUAUCCUUUGUUGCCAGCGGUCCGGCCGGGAACUCAAAGGAGACUGCCAGUGAUAAACUGGAGGAAGGUGGGGAUGACGUCAAGUCAUCAUGGCCCUUACGACCAGGGCUACACACGUGCUACAAUGGCGCAUACAAAGAGAAGCGACCUCGCGAGAGCAAGCGGACCUCAUAAAGUGCGUCGUAGUCCGGAUUGGAGUCUGCAACUCGACUCCAUGAAGUCGGAAUCGCUAGUAAUCGUGGAUCAGAAUGCCACGGUGAAUACGUUCCCGGGUCUUGUACACACCGA
Molecule: ribosomal RNA, 436 nt
Filed under: Escherichia coli
Lineage: Bacteria; Pseudomonadati; Pseudomonadota; Gammaproteobacteria; Enterobacterales; Enterobacteriaceae
Description: bacterial SSU rRNA
Rfam family: Bacterial small subunit ribosomal RNA
Source: RNAcentral